GCCCCGCCCACCGCCGUUGCCAUGGCGGCGGCGCGGUCUGCUCGGAGCGGGCCGGGACGCCGCGCCCCGUGACCCCUCCCGGAGGCAGAGGAUGGCUGAGGUUGGAAAGCGCCUCCGGAGGUCAUGGAAUCCGCCCUCCUGCUCCCCUAGAGCGCGCUGUCCGGCACUGUGUCCAGGGAAGGAGAUUCCGUGGCCCUCUGCCGUCCGCCCCACACUGAGGCCUGAAAGAUUCCCCUUCCCAAGUGGCGCUGCGCGCACACUUCUGCUUUGCGUCCUUCCAGUCAAAGCUGUGUGACCCCCUGGGCUGCCUGUGACGGCCCGCUGCUCGGCGUCCCCCAGCCUUCCACCGAUGGCCAAAAGGCUCGAGAAAGCAGGAGCGUGCCCUGCCUGGGAGGAAGCACCAGAUAUUGAGAAUGAAAAGAACGUGAAGCAUUCAGCUUUCCGAAGCAUUCAGCUCUGUGAAUAUACAUGAAUUAACCAGCACAGUGCAGGUAUAAUGGAAGGGCUUCCUGGUCAUUCUGGAGCAUCAGCAGCUGUACCUGGAUGUGAAUUGCACUGUGAUACAGAUAAGUUUUGCAUUAAUACUUUCCAUUUUUCAAUGUGUAAUGUUUUCAUAUUCAUACAAGUGAAGGGUUUAUGUUUUUGCUUGGUAUGUGCAACAGACACAUAUAACAGUUGCCUUAAAAAGCUGUUGUUUGUCAAGAAAAAUUAGUUGAUCCGUUGAUCUGAAGUCACUCAUCUUGUUGAACCCAUUGCAAAGGGGCUCAGACUGAGGAAGCAGCUUCUGCCUCUUGCUCUACUGUUAGACUUGCUAGGUAAUUCUGGACACAUUGCUUAACCUUCCCAAAUCUGAGUUUAAUGAGCUGGAUAUGUACCACGCCAUAUGAUGCUUAUGCUCACGAAUAAAGCACUUGAGCUCUGUGAAUGAGAAGUGUUUCAGUUUGAGUUCUAAUCCUCCGUUCAUCAGUUGACAGAAUGCUUCCACUGCGCUUCCUUAUGUAGCGAGGUGUUCUCUGCUCUGAGAUAAACUUGCCUUUAUUUAGGAGACCUGAAGGAAAAACGAACAAACAAACAAAUGAUGCAUUUGCUAAUUUUUCUGAGAUUAAACAUUCAGUAGAACUCAACAAAUAUGUUUACUAGUUUAAUUGGAUUACAUUAAUUUACAUCCCCACAGCUUUUAUUACAUAAGCCCUUUUCUACCAGGGAUUUAGUCUAUUAGUUAAGGAAACCCGAGGGAUUAAUCUGAUAGCUGCAGUCAGAAAUUACAGUGUAAUUAAAGUCACCCAGGAAACAGUGAUACUGAAGUCUGCCAAUCCCUGCAAAACAAACUUGUCAAUUUGCUGCAUCUAGGAUAGCAUAUAAGGUGACACAUUAAAGGGGCACAAGUUCUGCACCAGAAAUAGGCCUGUUAAGGAGGAACUUGUGUACUGCACAGUGUAGCCAUCGCUGUUCUUGCUACCAACUACUGCUGUCUGUUUUUGAAUAGACUUAAAAGGUUUUGGUGUUUUAUUAAAGGUCAUGUACAGUGUGGGAGAGGAAGUAUAACACGGCUUGCACGGAAGUCUAUUUUAAAGCUUACUUUACUAAUUUAGUUGGACCGAGAUGUUACUUCAUGUCCAAAAGAAGAUAGAAAAUGCAGUGGCUGUAAAGAAGAAAGUUGCAGAGCACUGGAGCAGCCUUGUUAGUAGCAGGGAGAGACGUUUUGUCAUGGUCUGUACUUGUCAGUGUCAUUUGCUGCAAGCAGGGUAAUGGAGAGCAUGCAUCGGUGCACGAGUGGAGGAGGAGAUCUGUUGUCUUCAUGAAUGGCAUCAAGGAACAGCACAGCAUUCCAGAAAUUCUGCAGAGUGUCAGUACUUGUGAUGUGUUUGAGCCAUUCUAAUAGCAUAAUAUACGCAGGAGAGAUUUAAUUUCACUAUAUCCAAAAUACACAGCAUUUGGUAUUUCUUUUGUUCUAUGAGACAUAAGUCUAAUGAUGCAUAUUCUAGUUAGUGCAACUUGCUAUCAAGGUUGUAAAGAAAUAAGCAACAAGAAGAAAAUAACGUAUGUAUUUUUUCUGUUGUCAGAGUAGACUUGUAUAUAUACUUCACAGCUUUGUCUUCUUGCUCUAAGUUGUAAAGUAACCUUCACAUAACACUGUGUAAAUGGAAAAGUUCUCUGCCAGAAAGCUAAAGCCCAAUAUCUGUUGCUUGCAAAGCCACAGAGGGAACUACCCAUUGUUUCCUAGGAGGAGAUGGUGCAGCGACUUGCUGUGGCUUUAGCAAGAGGGCAAGGCUUUGUGAUAGAAGAUAAGCAAAGUAUGAUGACUUAAGUGGAGUGCUGAAGCUUUUACUGCAUCUGUCUUGUACAGUGUUGAAUAGAUUUUUAGGAACUUGCCAGUCAGGAGACCUGCCUUCGUGCUAAUGUGCAGACAUAGAGAAACUGCAUGAACAGAGGCAGGAAGCACUCAGAACAGAAAGGGAAAAUGAGCUACUGAUGCACACAGAGCUUUGCUUGGUAUAGCAGGCAAAGGAGGAUCCAGCAGGAACAGAAGAUAUCUCUUCUGUGCCUGAUCAGCCUGAGAAAAGUCCUUAACAAAACAAAGUGGCAGCCUGGAGAGUAUAAAACACAGGAAAUGAUGCAUUUCCAGUCCCACUUUUGCUUCUUUCUCAGCAGUCGCAGGGUGGGUGAGUAGGAGUUGCCUGUGCCAGCUCUGUGCAGCCUGGCAAAACUGGGGCCAGACCCGACGUUGUUGAGGCUGCUUCCACUUUUGUUUGUGAGGUGGAGGGAAGGACACCCUCCGUAAGUGUUGGUAUUAAUGCUUUUCUCUUAGUUAAUCUGUUUUGUUUCCUGCUGAGGCAUUUUACCUUCACCUCUAAAUUAUUUCAUUCUUCGUCAAAAUCCAAAGAAAACAGAGAUUCAAAGAAAGCACCCCUUAGAAUAGACUGAACGCUGAGUAUUAUUUGUAAGAUGUAUGAAACGGGACAUGGGAAGUUAGAAACAUUCAGGGAGUCGGUAUGCAUCCAAGUAGUCAAUGGUUCAGGGGGCAGAUAAACCAACACACCCCCACCCAGCACUGCAUGGCUACACCACCAGCAUCCAGGAAUUCUGACCUUUGCUAAAUCUUUAAUAUCUUUGGUUAUCAAACCCAAACUCGCUCACAUGCCAGAAGCAGUGUGGUACUGGGUAACCAUGUAGGUAAUUUUCAUGCUCAGAGAAGACAGCUCAUUUGUCAAACUGUGUCAGGUGAGAGUGCUCAGCAGGCCUGAAUUUCUGCAGAGAAAAAGGACCGGAUUCUCCUCCCUGUUAGCACCACCCAGUCUGAGUCAUACAGGCUGGAAGCAGUAGUACAGCUGCCAAACUUCCUCACCUAGAUCACGCUAUCUGCUAUAGGCUGCACUGGGAUUAUUGAGUGAGGUGUUUGGGUGUAGAAUUAAAAUACGUUGAGCACUGGAUUGUACUGUUGGGGAUUUUUCCACAAUGUUUCUUCACCAGGAAAUGUUUUUCCUCUCUAGCAUUGCAGGGUAACAGUGUAAACGUUUGUUUUUGUUGGUUCAUUGCCAGACAAACGUAAGAACAUGUUGUAAAAGUCACAUUUUGCUGGAUUUCGUUUUAGAAUAGUAGAACUGUAGAAUGGCUUAAGUCAGAGGGAACCUUAAAGAUCAUCUAGCUUCAACUCCUCUGCCAUGGGCUGGCUGCCCCCACCAGCUCAGGGUGCCCAGGGCCCAUCCAACCCAGCCUUGGGCACCUCCAGGAAUGAGGCACCCACAGCUCUGGGCAGCAGUGCCAGGGCCUCACCAUCCCCUAAGCAAAGAAUUUCUUUGUAACAUCCAACCUAAAUCUCCCCUCUUUUAGUUUAAAUUCCGUGUAGAAUUUCAAGUGUGUUCGGCACCUGCCAUUCCAAAUACAGACAAAGUUAUAUGAUAGAACUCAGACAUUGUAAAUCGUAAUGGAUUUUGAUCACAGGAUAUGAUGCUACUUGGUCACAACAGCCCAGAUCCCUGUAGGACACAUACUUCCAUUGAUUUCACUGGAAGUUAGGGGCCACAGAGAACUCUGUGGCCCUUUUCCUACCAGCUGAAGUCAAUGAAACCACCUUUUGAAAAUGGGGUUCCAGAUAUUACAGUCUAGCAGACAAAGCUGGCUUAUCCCACAUUAAAUGUCACCUCUGAGAACAGAAUUUAAGUGAUGAUGGCGUAGUGGAAGUCUAAGACAGAGCCAAGGCCAGAGUGUAAAUUAUCUGAUGCCCAGCCCAAUGCAUGAACCACAGUGCUGAUGUUUGAUUACUGUGAGGUUGGAUACUGACUCUAUAAACAACAAAUGCAGUUUUCAAAACUUACCCGCAGCAAAUGCAGAACCCUGCCUUGACAUGGUUUUCUGAUGGUAGAACUCUGCUUGCUGAAGUCUAUUUACACCUCAAAUUUUCCAAAAACAAGACUUCAAUUCCUCAUUGCUGUGAAGCAAGCAUUACUUUUAACAAAUUACUUAAUUGCUUUUCUAGCCAUUUCUUUUCCUGCAUUUCUUAAUUGAGUUUGUAUAGAAUACUUCUACGUGAAUGAGUGCCUGAGGCAAGAUGAGGUCUGAGCAGAGACCUGUAUCUUGGUUUCCUAGUCAGUGGGAUGCAGGAGAGCCUACUGUGCUUCUGUUUAGGGAUAAGAACUUGGUUAAAGGCAUGCAACCCAACUCAUGUUUCCUUGUGCUUGCUUACAAGGAGAAUAUCAAGGUCUCAGACUGGAUAAUGAUGCAGAAAUGCACACUGACAGCGAUCCCAAUAGCCGGGCUCAUGGAGAGAAAGUCUCAGAUGUGAAUGAAGGAUGUGAGGCUGCAGCCAAAUUGAUUAGAAGCAAAGAACUCUCAGACAUCUGAAGUGUGCAAAGCAUAAAGCUGUCCUCUAAUUUCCCAGUUUUGGCAGUUUUGUUGCCACCUGAAGGUAAAGCUGGUAUUAAUCACUGGGGGGAAAAUGCAACCCUGCUCUCUUUGAUCUUUCCUCCUUUAAUCAACAGUUUCUAAGUGCAAUAAGACAUUUCAGAUGUUGCCAAUGUAUUUUUAUCUGGCAAUUGUUCAAUGCGUAUCCUAAAAUGGAGAGGUGCAUCUGCUGAAACACAGCAUGGUGCUUCUGGAGGAGGAAACCAUCUCCUUUCUGGCUUUGCACUGUUCAUUGGUCUGACAGCCUUGGAUAUCCAUGGAAAUGUAACUGUUCCUAAGAUGAAUCCUACACGUUGCACAGUUGCUCUGCUUCCUGUAACUCAUCUAAAUAUUGGUGACUAAUUAUUCUUGAGGAAACAUCCUUUCUCUGUGGAGUUAGCUUUGCAAGCAAAAGGACAUUAGAAGCAGCACCCUGACCAGGUCACUAGCCAGCCAGGAGAGAGCAGGGAUUGCAGGCAGGAGGUGGCAGCCUCGAGUAGCAGCACACUGCUUUCUCUGCUCAGCUAUGCUCAGACCUGAAUGCUAACAGGAGCAGGGUACAAACAGCUUGGGGUCUGGGUCCUUGCUUUAAGCACUGCAGCUUGAAGAUGGAAACCUAACUUUGUCCCUCGUGCCCACUAAUUAAAAACGUAGCUAAGCUGCUCUAUAGGUGCAGUGUUGGAGUUGUAUGGGUUUGCUCAGAAUUUUUAAUAUUUUGUUCAAUAUCUUCAGAGGGAAAGAAUGUAGCACUCUUUAUUUGAUCUGUCCCGUUCUCAUCUAGGUUUAUUUCUUCUUGCAAGGAAAAUUAUGUUGCAGACAAGAAUAAGUCCCCUCGAAAUACUGUAUUGUUUUGUUUGUGUGUCUAAUUCUUGAGCCCCAUCCUGCAAAGCUGAUGGUCCUCCAUGGCCUGGCUAUAGUCCACAAGGGGAUCUAUAAGGGAAUUUUGCCUCCCUCAUGAGCUACAACGAAGUAACGGCAAAUGAACCUACUUAGAUUAAAGAUGUCACUGACUGAAAUGUUCUAAUCAACAGAACCUUGCAAUUAUCCUCUCUCAGCAGAGAGGGGAACUUGAUGACAUCAUUGUUUUUUCCCUGUGAAAACGCUUAGUUGGAAAAAGACAAAAAAAGAUUCAAUGAAUCACAUGCAACAUCCCACUUGGAAUCUUUGAAUAAUCCCAAAGAGUGCCAUUCACUGCAACAAUCAAAAUGUAAGCCAAGAGAGUUCUGCAGCAUUGCUUUUUGCCCUCUGGGUGAGUAUUCGUGGUAGGAAUUUUCCUCGUUCAUUUUAUUGUAAAAUCUGUGUAUCCCUUGACUGUUUUUUUCCUGGAGUCCCACAUUUUCAUCUUCUGGACCAAAUCUGAGUUAACUUUUUUUUUUCCUUUCUUCCUUCUGAUGCACAUGAAAACUCUUUCUUUAAAAGCUGACAUGUAGCAAAUGUUACAUCUGACAUCCUGCAAAUGGAAUCCUUCGGUUAAACUGUGUGUGCACAAAUCUGUUCCCCACAGAGCCAAUGGUCUACCUGGACGGAUAUGAACGCAAGACUGGGUUUUCUGUAACAGUCCAAUCCUGUUAGACACAGAAGACAUUGUCCUGAAUGGUUUUGUUUAAUCUUUUCAUUAAGCAAACAUUUUCCUAAGUUUGCAUAAGCAGUCACCCAGCUGCGACUUCCACACAGCCUCAGUAACUCGGAGGGUGUGGUGAUUAAAUUUCCUCGGAGACUUUCCUUCCAUCUGACUACCAAAGAGUAAUUCAUUCCUCAGCCAACAUUGUUUGUUUGCUUUGUUUCUUCAGCCUUCAUCUGCAGAAGAUACAUUGGUGAGGUAAUAGUGGUCUUUCUAAUGCAAAAGAGUGAGGACGAUUUGUUGAGCCACAUUCCCUGAAGAAAGAAGGCUUAUGUGCACAGAUUCUGUCUGGCCCAACAGCCAGCACUAGAACAUGGAAUCCCAUUGGCCAAUUCACUUCAGUAUGAAAAAGAGAAGACUCCAGUUUUCUGUCAGGACUGUCAGCUGAAGGGCUGAGCCUAACAGCUGUUCUGUUCAGAAUUUGUUCCUGGGAGACCUAUUUUGCAAGCUUGUCUGCUGAAACUUCUGUAGAGAAGAAAGCAGACGGAGCCUUUUCAGAUUGCAGCUUCCCAGUUGCUGUGUUGAAAGCAUGAAGCAAAAGUGAAACCGAGGGAGAAACUGGAGCUGCCUCAUCAGUGCCAUUUCCAUACCGUGUCUGGUCUCUGGAGAAGGACAGCAUGGAUGAAUUUGUGCAACAAGCCAACCAGCCAUAGAAGAUUAUAUCUUACAAGAAAAUCCACUUGUGGUGACUUGUAAGCUACGUUGGCCAUCCCUCACCCACAGUGUUACGCUCAAAACUCCUACGUGCUCACCACAGCACUGAUGAAGAAUGAGGCCUGGAUUCUGAAGAAAGGAGCCAGAACAAGGUGCUAGAACUCUUUCCAGGAAUUUCCCAACAGACACAGAUGUCUGCUCUCCUGGGAGAAUGUCCCUCACAUCCCAUUAAGUGCUCUUGACACUUGAUCCUACCUGUGCCUACCUUGCUUCUGUCUGCAACCAGAACCGAGGUGAAACCUCUGGCCACGUUCCCCUCACUGCAGGAUGAAGAAGCACAGGCCAUUCCAGUCAGAAACAAGAGAUAGGGCUGAACUGGUGAUUCACAGACCAGUAAGUUCCAUGACACCAUAUAGUUACCUGUGUCCUGUGAGAAACAAUGUGUGAUAGUGGAACAGUUCUUUUUAAAGGUUCCAGAAUACCAUUUCCCUCCCCAGUUCUGUUCUUCUGUCAUCAGACUAUCCCUGAGUAUGGGUUCAUUGACUCCUUCCCUCUCAGUGGCACCCGUGGGUCCAUCAGCAACACGCUUCUCCCUUGACCUUUAUUUCCGAAAUCAAGAAUUCGCAAGGAGGAGAAGAACGUGCCAACACCACUUUCCAUGUGCUGCCAGCACACCUGAAAUGGACUGGUUGUAUUGUUAGAAAAACAGAGAAUCAUAGAAUCAUAGAAUCGCUAAGGUUGGAAAAGACCCACAGGAUCAUCCAGUCCAACCAUUCGCCCAUCACCAAUGGUUCCCGCUAAACCAUGUCCCUCAACACAACAUCCAAACGCUCUUUGAACACCACCAGGGUCGGUGACUCCACCACCUCUCUGGGCAGCCCAUUCCAGUGCCUGACCACCCUUUCAGAGAAGUAGUAUUUCCUAACAUCCAGCCUGAACCUUCCCUGGCACUGCAGAUAGAUUAAAUACAUGGGAGGGUUGUGAGCAGUACAGGAGAGACAAGCUGCUAUUGAUAAGCCCGAAUCAGUGUUUGUUUCUUCCCCAGGACUCCCAGUAUCAAAACAGCCAUUUGCAGCAUCUCAGCUUGCUGUUGUGUAUUCCUGGUACCUGACCUCCUCAGUCUGGUUGCUGUGCAUCUGUUAGCCUGCGACCUUCCCACACUGAGCAGGGGAGGGAGAAGGAAGAGCAGAGGAAGACAGGUGGAGAAAUAAUUUUAUUUUUUAUUUUCAUUUUACACAAGGUCUAGGGAAAUGGACACUGGCAGGGGCCAAAUGAUAUCUGAACACCUCUGUGCUAACGUGGCAGCUUUGUGAGAAGGCAGUAUUUGAGUCAGAGGCCUGAUUCUCCCUACCUUUGGUUCAAGGCAAAGGUAAAAAUUGUUUAAAAGCUGGUAGACAGCAGAUCUGAAACCAGCCCUUGCCCUGUGAGGGUAUGGCAUGAUGAUAGAGCUUAAAGGAUACUGAAUAUUUUUGUAUGAAAUGAGGGCAGAAGAGGAAGGAAGAGUGAACCCCACGCAGCCCACUGUUCUCUGCAGGCUGCAGUCUGUAGGGGUGACACCCUCGCAGUCCCACUGACAGCACUGCAGCAGAGAGGGCACAUGGGCUCCAUACUGCAGUGCAACAUCUAUGCUCAGAAAUGGAUUAUGAAGCUGUAGCAUUCUUCCACCAUCAUUCGUGCUGCUUUGCCUCCUUCCCCUCCCCCCGUACACCGGCAGCCAUCACAGAUUGCUCUUCUUCCCACCCUCCAAGCUGUACGCUGUCCCCUUUCCACCCCCAUUUCCCAGAGCAUCCUCUGGCAGCAGCUGCCAUGGGCACCUUUUGUGGCCUAGGGAGGAGAGAGGUGGGAAAUGGGGAAGGCAGGUCCCAGCUUGUCACCCAAGUUGGGACAAGAGAACCAGCAGAGUUCAACCACAAAAACAGGAGUUACUGAGUCAAGUCAGUGACCCAAGGUGCACAGAACCAGGGAGGGAGAUUACAAUUCAAGGCAAUCUAUGCUCAUGCCUUUUCCCAGGCUGCUCUGGUAGCACAGUAUAGCUGGAGCCAAAGGAAAUUCUGCAGCUGAUUUCACUAACAGGAUAAAAGCAGCCCUAUUGGCACAGGCAGAAUUCAGCCCUGAAGGUAUAUGAGUAAUGUUUCCCCAACCAGCACAUGAUAUUGCUGCUUGCAUUAUGCUCCUUUUAAUAAGAGACAAGGAGGGCCUCUUGGACUAUCCAGUGGUUCGUGGUGUUCAGGACAUACAGUGAUACCCACUUAAUGAAGGAGGAGGAACAGGAUACGCUGUGACACACAGACAGCAAAUAAUUGCUCCCAUCCCAGCUGGAAAGCAGGCAGUGGUCCCAGCCUGCUCAUCCAGUCCAACAGGUACAGAACUGUGACAGCAACAGAUGACCUCAGCCUGCACCUCCCAACAGACACCCUCUAGUUCUGCCCUCCCACAGCAGAUACGCAGCCUGCAGUCACAGGGUUACCUUGCCUGCUGUGCCACUGCUUCGGUCGUACAGAUUAAAUAUGCUUUUCUCAGA
This is a long non-coding RNA of Gallus gallus (chicken), 9677 nucleotides long. RefSeq lists it as uncharacterized. The record is from RefSeq and is a predicted model, not a curated record. NCBI's taxonomy places the organism in Eukaryota, Metazoa, Chordata, Aves, Galliformes, Phasianidae. The transcript has 5 exons.